UACGAAGGGUGCAAGCGUUGUUCGGAAUCAUUGGGCGUAAAGGGCGUGCAGGCGGUUUGUUAAGUGCAGGGUGAAAGCUCCCGGCUCAACUGGGAGAGGUCCUUGCAUACUGGCAAACUCGAGGGAGGCAGAGGAAAGUGGAAUUCCCGGUGUAGUGGUGAUAUGCGUAGAUAUCGGGAGGAACACCUGUGGCGAAGGCGGCUUACUGGACACAUAUUGACGCUGAGGUGCGAAAGCGUGGGGAGCAAACAGG
RNAcentral lists this ribosomal RNA (253 nucleotides) under uncultured bacterium. RNAcentral describes it as "partial 16S ribosomal RNA". It matches the Rfam family "Bacterial small subunit ribosomal RNA", at positions 524 to 776 of the family's 1533-position model. The record is from RNAcentral.